Molecule: ribosomal RNA, 266 nt
Filed under: uncultured bacterium
Lineage: Bacteria
Description: partial 16S ribosomal RNA
Rfam family: Bacterial small subunit ribosomal RNA
Source: RNAcentral
GGGGCCCUACGGGACGCAGCAGUGAGGAAUAUUGGUCAAUGGGCGCGAGCCUGAACCAGCCAAGUAGCGUGAAGGAUGACUGCCCUACGGGUUGUAAGCUUCUUUUAUAAAGGAAUAAAGUGAGGCACGUGUGCCUUUUUGUAUGUACUUUAUGAAUAAGGAUCGGCUAACUCCGUGCCAGCAGCCGCGGUAAUACGGAGGAUCCGAGCGUUAUCCGGAUUUAUUGGGUUUAAAGGGAGCGUAGAUGGGUUGUUAAGUCAGUUGUG